This 486-nucleotide unclassified non-coding RNA is filed under the name Hevea brasiliensis (rubber tree). Lineage: Eukaryota; Viridiplantae; Streptophyta; Magnoliopsida; Malpighiales; Euphorbiaceae. The record is from RNAcentral.
GUUCAAAUUCCUUGCGACAUACUCUAUAGAAUCAGAUCUUUCUUUGAAGGUAGGCACAGUAGCUAAGAAGCUAACAUGAGCGUAGUACCUGAUAGAUUGAACAUUGCAGAGAAAUGCAACCAGAAAGCAAAGCAAGAUGGUAAAAAACUUUAUAGAAGACAUCAUAGAUGUUUUAUUCCCAUACAGUAGCUCGGAGUGCGUAUAGCUUGAUUUGUUGCUCACAAAUACACUAAUAAUUGAGCUGAGCGUAAUUGCAGUUGUUGCCAAAAGUGUAGAUGCCAUAAUGUUGUUCCGUAUUGUUUGAACUGCGAGAACUCCAUUCUUUAUUGGAUCGGUCAUAAUAGAGAGGACCCAGUGAUGGCGAGACUCAGAAUUGAUUCCGAUAACAGUUCUUCUUGGAUUGCGAAUAAUGAUGGUGAGAAGCCAGGCAUGGUAUGAUACGAAAAUGGCAAUCCCAAAAGGGACAAGUAAAUAGUCAAGUUCCCG